Homo sapiens (human) is the source of this 787-nucleotide long non-coding RNA. RefSeq lists it as uncharacterized. NCBI's taxonomy places the organism in Eukaryota, Metazoa, Chordata, Mammalia, Primates, Hominidae. The transcript is spliced from 3 exons. The record is from RefSeq and is a predicted model, not a curated record.
AAUGAUUUUCUAUGCUCUGUGUAGAGCAUUACAGGACCAUUUGCAUACAUGAUGGAUUUUUCUUUUCUGAGAAACAAUAUCAUCCUGGUGUUGCCAGUGCUAAAGCUGAGAAUGCCAAGACUUGGAGAUAUCAAGUGAUCUGUACAAGAAGUGUUCAUUCUUCAUGAUAUGCUGCUUUGUGGAUGAUGCACCCAUUGACUGUGCCAACUUCAUCUAAACCUCUCUGAAGAAAACUUAAUGCUAAGCUGAAUCCAUGUUUAGAACUCAGGUGAAUGGUGAAAUUAAGGCAGGAUGACACCUGGUAAUAUCUUAGUGUGAUUCAAGCAAGAGAAAAGAUUAACAGUAAUGAGUAUCAUUUGAGCUAUUCAUAAAGGUUUGCCAGAGAGAAAGAUAAACAUUUUCCUUUAUAACCAUAGGGAGGUAUAUAAAUUUUCUAAAAAUAAAUUAUGUGUUCAAAUUACUUUUCUUUUUAGCACUACUGUAUUUUAUGAUGACAGAUUCAUAGCAGAUAUGGAUAUUAGUGAAUGAUCAUGUCUAGUAAGGACAGGCAGUAUUCUGUGUAGUAAAAAUAAUACCUUGUAUCUAUCUAUUGUUUCAUAAUGUGUGGACCAAUUUCACAGUCAUUAUCUUAUUUGCUCCUCAGGACAUCCCUGAGAGAAAAGAAAAAAAAUUUUACAGGGUGUGUACUUCAUAAGUUUUCUUUCUCUACCAGAUUAGCAUAAACAUCUUUUCCAUACCUGUCUCAUAUGCUUUAAGUUUUUAUUUCAUAUUUUUGUAAGUUAUAAUC